GUGGCUGCUCCUCGCUGCUAGCCGCCCCUAAAGCUCUUGUCGAGCAGGCAGAGGCUUGAUGCUGAGCAGGGCCUAUGGUUCUGUCGGAGGCCUGACAUGAGUCAAAAGGUUCAGAUGAAACAAUGAAACUGAUAUAGCUGAAACCCAAAUAUCUAUGCCAAGCAAACUCACUUAAAGUUACAUGCGAAAGAGAAGGUGCUUUACAUGCAAUCCAAAAUUGUAUAUAUUCAAAUAGGGCAAAGAAACAUAAGCACUGACAGCUAAUGCUCAUGAUUUUUUUAAUGUAUACAGUUUCAAAAGGAUAACUCCACCUUUCUCUCUCAGUUUUGACCGGACACAAUGCCUCUUGUAGAGCAUAUUUGUGAAAAUAUUUUUAUACAACUAAUGCACAUAUGAAAUCGACCAUGAAUAAAAAAUCAGCUAGAGACUUCAUAGGACUGAAAAUGAUACAUUGUGUCAUUAAAUAUGAAAGGUGUGUGGUAUUCAUUAAUUGACCAAAAAUUCUCAAAUAAUCACACAAGAUUCAGAAUGGAUCAGAAGACCUGCAUAUGCAAUCUGCACUAUGAAGUAACAUCGACAAAAAGGAUGAAAUUGCCCUAACUGUGUACGGAGGAAUAUCAUAUCCUUUAAUUUCUGACAUACUUAUUUGAACAUGUGUGUUUCUGAAUUUAUGCCUAACAACAAAAGUUUAAAGAAGACACAUCUGCAGACCCUUGGAAAGAAUGCAAUCGAUCAAUGCAAUAAUCCAGAAAGAUCAAUAGCAGCGCAGAUUAAUGCCAGAGAACUUGCAGGACACUACAGAGAGGACGAUGGAGAGCUACCCGUAGAUGUGGUUCGGGGGCUUGCAGGCUAGAAUCUCAUGCAACGGAGGCUCCAUCACUGGCGCUGCUUCUGUCGCGUCAUCAUACCCUAAGUGUCGCUUCCCCUUUGCUAUGUGCGUCCUCAGCUGCAGCCGCUUAGUUCUACCGGGAUCCGCAGCAAAGGAAGGCCGUGGGAUUUGGACCUGGACGAGGAGCGAUGGGGAUGGUGUUGCAGUGACAUGGGUGCGGGGACGGGGAACGGCGGCAUAUGCGGCCGCAGGGAGCGCGGACAGGGAGCGGCGACGUACGUGGCCGAGCUAGUGACUGCAGGGAUGGAGAGCGCGGCGGUGUACGCGGCCGUAGGAAGUGAGGACGGGGAGUUUAGGGGUUGUCGCAGGGAAGGGGAGGAGCAGAUGUGGGCGCAAGGAUGGAGAAAGCGUGUGGGAGAUGGUCGCAGGGCGUGAUUGGCGGAGCAGAAGGAGGGAGCGAGCGUCGCAGACCCGGCAGACGGACGAACGAAGAUGGAUUGUUGCACGAAAAAAUGUCCACUCUUUAGUCUUUUUAGUUGU
RNAcentral lists this long non-coding RNA (1369 nucleotides) under Sorghum bicolor (sorghum). RNAcentral describes it as "long non-coding RNA (SBIC_LNC003475)". The record is from RNAcentral. Lineage: Eukaryota; Viridiplantae; Streptophyta; Magnoliopsida; Poales; Poaceae.